This 68-nucleotide transfer RNA is filed under the name Niallia circulans. RNAcentral describes it as "Bacillus circulans tRNA-OTHER". It matches the Rfam family "tRNA". Rfam says of the family: Transfer RNA (tRNA) molecules are approximately 80 nucleotides in length. Their secondary structure includes four short double-helical elements and three loops (D, anti-codon, and T loops). Further hydrogen bonds mediate the characteristic L-shaped molecular structure. tRNAs have two regions of fundamental functional importance: the anti-codon, which is responsible for specific mRNA codon recognition, and the 3' end, to which the tRNAs corresponding amino acid is attached (by aminoacyl-tRNA synthetases). tRNAs cope with the degeneracy of the genetic code in two manners: having more than one tRNA (with a specific anti-codon) for a particular amino acid; and 'wobble' base-pairing, i.e. permitting non-standard base-pairing at the 3rd anti-codon position. The record is from RNAcentral. Lineage: Bacteria; Bacillati; Bacillota; Bacilli; Caryophanales; Bacillaceae.
GGAACGUUAGCUCAGUGGUAGAGCAAGCUUAUCCGGAAAAGGUCGGCGGUUCGAUUCCGCCACGUUCA